Sapajus apella (tufted capuchin) is the source of this 273-nucleotide long non-coding RNA. RefSeq lists it as uncharacterized. NCBI's taxonomy places the organism in Eukaryota, Metazoa, Chordata, Mammalia, Primates, Cebidae. The record is from RefSeq and is a predicted model, not a curated record. The transcript has 2 exons.
AGAUCAACAUAGUGGAGGAAAAACAAAGAGCAGCCUGCAAAAACAGGUCCAAGUCAGAAGAGGACUGGAAGACAAGGUACAUGGUUGAGCCCUUAGGCAGGCUACUGUAUGCUGACGAGGUGGUUCCAUCAAGGUCCUAAUCCCUGCAAUGGAGCACAGGAUUGGAUUUACUCUGGCAGCUACUGGGACAGAAAGUACUUCAAUUUGUCUGCCAUUUAGUAAAGUGCAUACAGGUCAGGGUGUUUGGCUAAUCUCUAAGCAAGUCUUAAACCU